AUUGAACGCUGGCGGCAUGCCUUACACAUGCAAGUCGAACGGCAGCACGGGUGCUUGCACCUGGUGGCGAGUGGCGAACGGGUGAGUAAUAUAUCGGAACGUACCUUAUUGUGGGGGAUAACGCAGCGAAAGCUGUGCUAAUACCGCAUAAUCCCUUAGGGGGAAAGCGGGGGACCGUAAGGCCUCGCGCAAUUAGAGCGGCCGAUACCUGAUUAGCUAGUUGGUGAGGUAAAGGCUCACCAAGGCGACGAUCAGUAGCUGGUCUGAGAGGACGAUAAGCCACACUGGGACUGAGACACGGCCGAGACUCCUACGGGAGGCAGCAGUGGGGAAGUUGGGACAAUGGGGGCAACCCUGAUCCAGCAAUGCCGCGUGAGUGAAGAAGGCCUUCGGGUUGUAAAGCUCUUUUGUCAGGGAAGAAACAGCAGCUCUAACACAGUAUGCGAAUGACGGUACCUGAAGAAUAAGCACCGGCUAACUACGUGCCAGCCGCCGCAGUAA
Molecule: ribosomal RNA, 501 nt
Filed under: uncultured bacterium
Lineage: Bacteria
Description: partial 16S ribosomal RNA
Rfam family: Bacterial small subunit ribosomal RNA
Source: RNAcentral